RNAcentral lists this ribosomal RNA (493 nucleotides) under uncultured bacterium. Its description in RNAcentral is "bacterial SSU rRNA". It matches the Rfam family "Bacterial small subunit ribosomal RNA", at positions 29 to 511 of the family's 1533-position model. The record is from RNAcentral.
AGUGAACGCUGGCGGCAGGCCUAAUACAUGCAAGUCGAACGGCAGCACAGCAGAGCUUGCUCUGUGGGUGGCGAGUGGCGGACGGGUGAGGAAUACAUGGGAAUCUGCCCAGUCGUGGGGGAUAACGUAGGGAAACUUACGCUAAUACCGCAUGCGCCCUUCGGGGGAAAGCCGGGGACCUUCGGGCCUGGCGCGAUUGGAUGAGCCCAUGUCGGAUUAGCUAGUUGGCGGGGUAAAGGCCCACCAAGGCGACGAUCCGUAGCUGGUCUGAGAGGAUGAUCAGCCACACUGGAACUGAGACACGGUCCAGACUCCUACGGGAGGCAGCAGUAGGGAAUAUUGGACAAUGGGCGCAAGCCUGAUCCAGCCAUGCCGCGUGAGUGAAGAAGGCCCUCGGGUUGUAAAGCACUUUUGGCGGGAGCGAAACGGUCUGGGUUAAUACCCUGGGCUAAUGACGGUACCGCAGAAUAAGCACCGGCUAACUACGUGCCAG